AGAGUUUGAUCCUGGCUCAGAACGAACGCUGGCGGCAGGCCUAACACAUGCAAGUCGAGCGCGCCUUCGGGUGAGCGGCGGACGGGUUAGUAACGCGUGGGAACGUGCCCUUUUCUACGGAAUAGCCUCUGGAAACGGAGAGUAAUACCGUAUACGCCCUUUGGGGGAAAGAUUUAUCGGAGAAGGAUCGGCCCGCGUUAGAUUAGGUAGUUGGUGGGGUAACGGCCUACCAAGCCUACGAUCUAUAGCUGGUUUUAGAGGAUGAUCAGCAACACUGGGACUGAGACACGGCCCAGACUCCUACGGGAGGCAGCAGUGGGGAAUCUUAGACAAUGGGGGCAACCCUGAUCUAGCCAUGCCGCGUGAGUGAUGAAGGCCUUAGGGUCGUAAAGCUCUUUCGCCUGUGAUGAUAAUGACAGUAGCAGGUAAAGAAACCCCGGCUAACUCCGUGCCAGCAGCCGCGGUAAUACGGAGGGGGUUAGCGUUGUUCGGAAUUACUGGGCGUAAAGCGCGCGUAGGCGGAUUAGAAAGUUGGGGGUGAAAUCCCGGGGCUCAACCUCGGAACUGCCUCCAAAACUGCUAGUCUAGAGUUCGAGAGAGGUGAGUGGAAUUCCGAGUGUAGAGGUGAAAUUCGUAGAUAUUCGGAGGAACACCAGUGGCGAAGGCGGCUCACUGGCUCGAUACUGACGCUGAGGUGCGAAAGUGUGGGGAGCAAACAGGAUUAGAUACCCUGGUAGUCCACACCGUAAACGAUGAAUGCCAGUCGUCGGGUAGUAUACUAUUCGGUGACACACCUAACGGAUUAAGCAUUCCGCCUGGGGAGUACGGUCGCAAGAUUAAAACUCAAAGGAAUUGACGA
This 859-nucleotide ribosomal RNA is filed under the name uncultured marine bacterium. Its description in RNAcentral is "bacterial SSU rRNA". It matches the Rfam family "Bacterial small subunit ribosomal RNA", at positions 8 to 916 of the family's 1533-position model. The record is from RNAcentral.